This 301-nucleotide ribosomal RNA is filed under the name uncultured bacterium. RNAcentral's name for it is "partial 16S ribosomal RNA". It matches the Rfam family "Bacterial small subunit ribosomal RNA", at positions 509 to 807 of the family's 1533-position model. The record is from RNAcentral.
CAGCAACCACGGUAAAACAGAGGGUGCGAGCGUUAAUCGGAUUUACUGGGCGUAAAGCGUGCGUAGGCGGCUUCUUAAGUCGGAUGUGAAAUCCCUGAGCUUAACUUAGGAAUUGCAUUCGAUACUGGGAAGCUAGAGUAUGGGAGAGGAUGGUAGAAUUCCAGGUGUAGCGGUGAAAUGCGUAGAGAUCUGGAGGAAUACCGAUGGCGAAGGCAGCCAUCUGGCCUAAUACUGACGCUGAGGUACGAAAGCAUGGGGAGCAAACAGGAUUAGAUACCCGCGUAGUCCCUGUCUCUUAUAC